AUUGAACGCUAGCGGGAUGCCUUACACAUGCAAGUCGAACGGCAGCGCGGACUUCGGUCUGGCGGCGAGUGGCGAACGGGUGAGUAAUGUAUCGGAACGUGCCCAGUAGCGGGGGAUAACUACUCGAAAGAGUAGCUAAUAUCGCAUACGCCCUACGGGGGAAAGGGGGGGAUCGCAAGACCUCUCACUAUUGGAGCGGCCGAUAUCGGAUUAGCUAGUUGGUGAGGUAAAGGCUAACCAAGGCGACGAUCCGUAGCUGGUUUGAGAGGACGACCAUCCACACUUGGACUGAGACACGGCCCAGAAUCCUACGGGUGGCAGCAGUGGGGAAUUUUGGACAAUGGGGGAAACCCUGAUCCAGCCAUGCCGCGUAUGCGAUGAAGGCCUUCGGGUUGUAAAGCACUUUUGGCAGGAAAGAAAUCGCACGGAUUAAUACUCUGUGUGGAUGACGGUACCUGCAGAAUAAGCACCGGCUAACUACGUGCCAGCCGCCGCGGUAA
Molecule: ribosomal RNA, 500 nt
Filed under: uncultured bacterium
Lineage: Bacteria
Description: partial 16S ribosomal RNA
Rfam family: Bacterial small subunit ribosomal RNA
Source: RNAcentral